Brassica napus (rape) is the source of this 2116-nucleotide long non-coding RNA. RefSeq lists it as uncharacterized. Lineage: Eukaryota; Viridiplantae; Streptophyta; Magnoliopsida; Brassicales; Brassicaceae. The record is from RefSeq and is a predicted model, not a curated record. The transcript is spliced from 3 exons.
UAUUUGAGUUCCAUAGAUGAUAAAAUAACAUUUCUUAGUUAAAACUAUUGAAUCGCCUUAUGUCACACGUAUUCAACAUAUGUCAUUAGACUAACUUUAUAAGGCGCUUUCACAAUUUUCAGGGUAGUUAAUUUUCUUUUGGUCAACAAACAAGAAGAUAACUAAUCAAAAGUGAGUUUUAAAAAAAAAACUAAUCAAAAGUGAGAAAAUAAAUUAUCCUAAUUAAUUAAAUUUAGUUAAAAUGAUAUAUAUCAAAUUUUAUUGGUGUAUUGCAUUUUUGGAACCUUUAUGCAUCAAAAAAAAAAUUACAUGAAUCAAGAUAGCUAAUCAAAAUUUUCAUAAAUCAAGCAAUGUUUAUUUUAUGUAUACUUUAGCUUUGAAAUUGUUUUAUAAUUCACAUCCCAACCGUGGGACGGGCUGAUCCUAGUAUCUUUAUAUAUAAAGAAGAGUUUACUCCCUCCUGGUUAAGCCACGUAGGAUGUCACGUCAGAAACUUUACUCUUGACGGUGCGACACGUGUCAUUGUAAAUGAAUAUAUUUUGAUUUAUGGGGGAGGGAGCUUUCUCUCUCUGUUCUCUCUCUACACAUCUUUGAGAGAGAGAGAGAGAAAAUCAAUGUUUUGUGUUCUUCUCUUCCGUUUCGUCCUCUGAAUCGGAUUGUUUAUACCUUUUGUUAGUUUGAUGUUUUGGUUCCGGCCACAAAUUGAUCUAUACUGGAUAUAAAAUUCUAUCUAAAUCAGAUUCAGUUUUUAUUUUCAUUUUCAGAUUUCAGGAAAAAAUCCGAUACGUGAUAUUUCAAUCCUUUGUUUGUUUGAUCGUCUUCUCAGAUUGUCUUGCGUGCAGGAAUAUAAUAUUUUCCGUCCUUUUUAGUGGGCCUAUUUAAUUAGGUAUGGGUGGAGCUUCCUCUGUAGAUUGAUAAUUUGAGAUGGAAAGCUUGAGUUCAGAGCUUCAUAAGCAUAUCUCAUGGUGGGCAACAACAAUGAAGGUCAUGUAUUCCUCAAUGUCAUAUCGGUGACACACUUCCCACAUUAAAGACACCAACUGCAGGCUCCGUAGAGCAAAGAGUGGUUCCUCUGCCACAUCUUCCAAGUAUGGUGAUGUUAAGAAAAUUGAAUCCGUCACAUUAUCUGAAAUUAAUAGCUACGUUCUCAACUCAUCCCUAGUGGUGAAACGCAGUGUUCGGUUCACACAAACGGGCAUCUGAUGCUGUUCCAGUUAUUGAAGGACGUCCAGCCAGCACAGACCCAUAGCCUACGCAUACUGAUUCAGUCAUAACCUCCACCGAGACUCCUAUUGAUGAUGACCAUGCGUUCCCUCGAUGGCUGCAACAAAAAUAAAUCCAAUGGAAAAUAAAUAGCAACAUUUUUUAAUGUUUUUGGGAGAAAAAAAAAAGUAGAAUUGUGAAACGGAUCACGGAGAGCAGAUGGUAGCAAAUAUUAUGUCAUCUCCAACGUCAGAAGAUGAAGAGUUGAUUUUGAGUUCAACAAUGGAGAAAUAUGCUGCAACUAAGAAGUAUAUCGAAAACCAUUACAACAAACGCAUGGCAUGAGACACAUAAAGGCUAAGGUUCCUACCGUAGAGGCCGAACACUUUGUAUGAUUUUGAUUGAAUUCACUCACCUUUUUAUGUGUUUUGUGUUUUGAUGAUGAGUCAAUAUAACAAUGUGUCAAGGUUUCUGAGAAAGAACAUGUUAACCCUUCAAACUAUUUCGAUUUCUAUGGGAAGGUUCUUAUAGGUAUUGUAACUAAGGAAUAUAUUGUUUCGUAUGCUAAAUGAUUCAAUAAAGUCUCUCUAUAAAUUGUUUGGUGUUUUUAUUACUUUUAAUACUAACUCAGUUUUUCUUUUAUGUACUCCUAGAAUCAAAGCGCAUGGUCAAUAUUUUCAAUGUUGUAAACAUAACUUAACAUGCUCGAAAGGGUUUGAAUGCUCCAAGGUUAAAAGACGCUCCAAAGUUAAAAGACUAAACGUAUAAUCUUUAGAUAUUGAUUUUUAGCAUGUAUCUUUCCGUAACUAUAACACUUCAACUAAUACGACUUUAUAUAUCUAAAUUGUCCUACAACGCAUUGUGUCACGUAUACAGAUUAUUUCGGGUCUUUAACCUCAAUUAAAUAGUCAUC